Molecule: ribosomal RNA, 592 nt
Filed under: Monosporozyma servazzii
Lineage: Eukaryota; Fungi; Ascomycota; Saccharomycetes; Saccharomycetales; Saccharomycetaceae
Description: Kazachstania servazzii partial large subunit ribosomal RNA
Rfam family: Eukaryotic large subunit ribosomal RNA
Source: RNAcentral
AAACCAACCGGGAUUGCCUUAGUAACGGCGAGUGAAGCGGCAAAAGCUCAAAUUUGAAAUCUAGUACCUUCGGUGCUCGAGUUGUAAUUUGUAGAGGGAUACUUUGGGGCCGUUCCUUGUCUAUGUUCCUUGGAACAGGACGUCAUAGAGGGUGAGAAUCCCGUGUGGCGAGGAGUGCGGUUCUAUGUAAAGUGCCUUCGAAGAGUCGAGUUGUUUGGGAAUGCAGCUCUAAGUGGGUGGUAAAUUCCAUCUAAAGCUAAAUAUUGGCGAGAGACCGAUAGCGAACAAGUACAGUGAUGGAAAGAUGAAAAGAACUUUGAAAAGAGAGUGAAAAAGUACGUGAAAUUGUUGAAAGGGAAGGGCAUUUGAUCAGACAUGGUGUUUUGCGCCCUCUGCUCCUUGUGGGUGGGGGACUCUCGCAGCUCACUGGGCCAACAUCAGUUUUGGUGGUCGGACAAAUCCGUAGGAAUGUAGCUUACCUCGGUAAGUGUUAUAGCCUGCGGGAAUACGGCCAGCCGGGACUGAGGACUGCGACUUUUGUCAAGGAUGUUGGCAUAAUGGUUAUAUGCCGCCCGUCUUGAACCACGGACCA